GUAGGUGGCAAGCGUUGUCCGGAAUUAUUGGGGCGUAAAGCGCGCGCAGGCGGUUCUUUAAGUCUGAUGUGAAAGCCCACGGGCUCAACCGUGGAGGGUCAUUGGAAACUGGAGAACUUGAGUACAGAAGAGGAAAGCGGAAUUCCACGUGUAGCGGUGAAAUGCGUAGAGAUGUGGAGGAACACCAGUGGCGAAGGCGGCUUUCUGGUCUGUAACUGACGCUGAGGCGCGAAAGCGUGGGGAGCAAACAGGAUUAGAUACCCUGGUAGUCCACGCCGUAAACGAUGAGUGCUAAGUGUUAGGGGAUUUCCGCCCCUUAGUGCUGCAGCUAACGCAUUAAGCACUCCGCCUGGGGAGUACGGCCGCAAAGGCUG
RNAcentral lists this ribosomal RNA (374 nucleotides) under uncultured organism. Its description in RNAcentral is "partial 16S ribosomal RNA". It matches the Rfam family "Bacterial small subunit ribosomal RNA", at positions 527 to 896 of the family's 1533-position model. The record is from RNAcentral.